AAGACUAUAGACCUGCGGAGUACCUGCGGAAGGAUCAUUAACAAUUUAUCCUUACUAUGGAUAAAUUUUAUCCAUAUCCACCUUGUGUGCAUCAUUGAAGCUUUAGUUGGCAGGUGAAAUCCUUUUCAAGGAUUUAAAGUGCAGUUAUUUGCAGCCUGCCAAUUUUAUUUGUCUCAACUUGUCUACUUACACUUUUGACUGAAAUGUUAUUAUUUAAUAAAUACAACUUUCAACAACGGA
This 240-nucleotide unclassified non-coding RNA is filed under the name soil metagenome. RNAcentral's name for it is "partial contains 5.8S ribosomal RNA, internal transcribed spacer 2, and large subunit ribosomal RNA". The record is from RNAcentral.